This 368-nucleotide ribosomal RNA is filed under the name uncultured bacterium. Its description in RNAcentral is "bacterial SSU rRNA". It matches the Rfam family "Bacterial small subunit ribosomal RNA", at positions 29 to 399 of the family's 1533-position model. The record is from RNAcentral.
ACGAACGCUGGCGGCGUGCUUAACACAUGCAAGUCGAGCGGUAAGGCCCUUUCGGGGGUACACGAGCGGCGAACGGGUGAGUAACACGUGGGUGACCUGCCCUUAGCUCUGGGAUAAGCCUGGGAAACUGGGUCUAAUACCGGAUAUGACUCCAUAACGCAUGUUGUGGGGUGGAAAGCCUUGUGCGGCUAGGGAUGGGCCCGCGGCCUAUCAGCUUGUUGGUGGGGUNAUGGCCACCAAGGCGACGACGGGUAGCCGGCCUGAGAGGGCGACCGGCCACACUGGGACUGAGACACGGCCCAGACUCCUACGGGAGGCAGCAGUGGGGAAUCUUGCGCAAUGGGCGAAAGCCUGACGCAGCGACGCCG